Molecule: ribosomal RNA, 2903 nt
Filed under: Enterobacter cloacae
Lineage: Bacteria; Pseudomonadati; Pseudomonadota; Gammaproteobacteria; Enterobacterales; Enterobacteriaceae
Also listed under: 1 other name
Description: bacterial LSU rRNA
Rfam family: Bacterial large subunit ribosomal RNA
Source: RNAcentral
UUAAGCGACUAAGCGUACACGGUGGAUGCCCUGGCAGUCAGAGGCGAUGAAGGACGUGCUAAUCUGCGAAAAGCGCCGGCGAGGUGAUAUGAACCCUUGACCCGGCGAUGUCCGAAUGGGGAAACCCAGUGUGUUCCGACACACUAUCGUUAACUGAAUACAUAGGUUAACGAGGCGAACCGGGGGAACUGAAACAUCUAAGUACCCCGAGGAAAAGAAAUCAACCGAGAUUCCCCCAGUAGCGGCGAGCGAACGGGGAGCAGCCCGGAGUCUGAAUCAGCUUGUGUGUUAGUGGAACGGUCUGGAAAGUCCGACGGUACAGGGUGAUAGUCCCGUACACGAAAAUGCACAUGCUGUGAACUCGAAGAGUAGGGCGGGACACGUGGUAUCCUGUCUGAAUAUGGGGGGACCAUCCUCCAAGGCUAAAUACUCCUGACUGACCGAUAGUGAACCAGUACCGUGAGGGAAAGGCGAAAAGAACCCCGGCGAGGGGAGUGAAAAAGAACCUGAAACCGUGUACGUACAAGCAGUGGGAGCACCUUCGGGUGUGACUGCGUACCUUUUGUAUAAUGGGUCAGCGACUUAUAUUCUGUAGCAAGGUUAACCGUAUAGGGGAGCCGAAGGGAAACCGAGUCUUAACUGGGCGUUAAGUUGCAGGGUAUAGACCCGAAACCCGGUGAUCUAGCCAUGGGCAGGUUGAAGGUUGGGUAACACUAACUGGAGGACCGAACCGACUAAUGUUGAAAAAUUAGCGGAUGACCUGUGGCUGGGGGUGAAAGGCCAAUCAAACCGGGAGAUAGCUGGUUCUCCCCGAAAGCUAUUUAGGUAGCGCCUCGUGAACUCAUCUUCGGGGGUAGAGCACUGUUUCGGCUAGGGGGCCAUCCCGGCUUACCAACCCGAUGCAAACUACGAAUACCGAAGAAUGUUAUCACGGGAGACACACGGCGGGUGCUAACGUCCGUCGUGAAGAGGGAAACAACCCAGACCGCCAGCUAAGGUCCCAAAGUCAUGGUUAAGUGGGAAACGAUGUGGGAAGGCACAGACAGCCAGGAUGUUGGCUUAGAAGCAGCCAUCAUUUAAAGAAAGCGUAAUAGCUCACUGGUCGAGUCGGCCUGCGCGGAAGAUGUAACGGGGCUAAACCAUGCACCGAAGCUGCGGCAGCGACGCUUAUGCGUUGUUGGGUAGGGGAGCGUUCUGUAAGCCGUUGAAGGUGUGCUGUGAGGCAUGCUGGAGGUAUCAGAAGUGCGAAUGCUGACAUAAGUAACGAUAAAGCGGGUGAAAAGCCCGCUCGCCGGAAGACCAAGGGUUCCUGUCCAACGUUAAUCGGGGCAGGGUGAGUCGACCCCUAAGGCGAGGCCGAAAGGCGUAGUCGAUGGGAAACAGGUUAAUAUUCCUGUACUUGGUGUUACUGCGAAGGGGGGACGGAGAAGGCUAUGUCAGCCGGGCGACGGUUGUCCCGGUUUAAGCAUGUAGGCGGAGGUUCCAGGUAAAUCCGGUACCUUAUUAACGCUGAGGUGUGAUGACGAGGCACUACGGUGCUGAAGUGAUAAAUGCCCUGCUUCCAGGAAAAGCCUCUAAGCAUCAGGUAACACGAAAUCGUACCCCAAACCGACACAGGUGGUCAGGUAGAGAAUACCAAGGCGCUUGAGAGAACUCGGGUGAAGGAACUAGGCAAAAUGGUGCCGUAACUUCGGGAGAAGGCACGCUGAUAUGUAGGUGAAGCCCCUGCGGACGGAGCUGAAAUCAGUCGAAGAUACCAGCUGGCUGCAACUGUUUAUUAAAAACACAGCACUGUGCAAACACGAAAGUGGACGUAUACGGUGUGACGCCUGCCCGGUGCCGGAAGGUUAAUUGAUGGGGUUAGCGGCAACGCGAAGCUCUUGAUCGAAGCCCCGGUAAACGGCGGCCGUAACUAUAACGGUCCUAAGGUAGCGAAAUUCCUUGUCGGGUAAGUUCCGACCUGCACGAAUGGCGUAAUGAUGGCCAGGCUGUCUCCACCCGAGACUCAGUGAAAUUGAACUCGCUGUGAAGAUGCAGUGUACCCGCGGCAAGACGGAAAGACCCCGUGAACCUUUACUAUAGCUUGACACUGAACACUGGUCCUUGAUGUGUAGGAUAGGUGGGAGGCUUUGAAGCGUGGACGCCAGUCUGCGUGGAGCCACCCUUGAAAUACCACCCUUUAAUGGCUGGUGUUCUAACGUAGACCCGUGAUCCGGGUUGCGGACAGUGUCUGGUGGGUAGUUUGACUGGGGCGGUCUCCUCCCAAAGAGUAACGGAGGAGCACGAAGGUUGGCUAAUCCUGGUCGGACAUCAGGAGGUUAGUGCAAUGGCAUAAGCCAGCUUGACUGCGAGCGUGACGGCGCGAGCAGGUGCGAAAGCAGGUCAUAGUGAUCCGGUGGUUCUGAAUGGAAGGGCCAUCGCUCAACGGAUAAAAGGUACUCCGGGGAUAACAGGCUGAUACCGCCCAAGAGUUCAUAUCGACGGCGGUGUUUGGCACCUCGAUGUCGGCUCAUCACAUCCUGGGGCUGAAGUAGGUCCCAAGGGUAUGGCUGUUCGCCAUUUAAAGUGGUACGCGAGCUGGGUUUAGAACGUCGUGAGACAGUUCGGUCCCUAUCUGCCGUGGGCGCUGGAGAAUUGAGGGGGGCUGCUCCUAGUACGAGAGGACCGGAGUGGACGCAUCACUGGUGUUCGGGUUGUCAUGCCAAUGGCACUGCCCGGUAGCUAAAUGCGGAAGAGAUAAGUGCUGAAAGCAUCUAAGCACGAAACUUGCCCCGAGAUGAGUUCUCCCUGAGACCUUGAGUCUCCUGAAGGAACGUUGAAGACGACGACGUUGAUAGGUCGGGUGUGUAAGCGCAGCGAUGCGUUGAGCUAACCGAUACUAAUGAACCGUGAGGCUUAACCUU